RNAcentral lists this ribosomal RNA (254 nucleotides) under uncultured bacterium. RNAcentral's name for it is "partial 16S ribosomal RNA". It matches the Rfam family "Bacterial small subunit ribosomal RNA", at positions 524 to 776 of the family's 1533-position model. The record is from RNAcentral.
GACGUAGGGCGCGAGCGUUGUCCGGAUUUAUUGGGCGUAAAGAGCUCGUAGGCGGCUUGUCGCGUCGACUGUGAAAACCCGUGGCUCAACCAUGUGGUCUGCAGUCGAUACGGGCAGGCUAGAAUUCGGUAGGGGAGACUGGAAUUCUCGGUGUAGCAGUGAAAUGCGUAGAGAUCGAGAGGAACACCAGUGGCGAAGGCGAGUUUCUGGUCUGUAACUGACACUGAGGCGCGAAAGCGUGGGGAGCGAACAGG